GCACAGAAGCUGCCCACAGGGUCCAGCGAGACAGCACCCUGCAGCCUUCUUACUAGCCCAUGCUCAAUAUUUAACCCUGGAGGAUCUCCAAGAAGUUGUCUAGGCAAUCACGCAGAUUUUUGGCUUGCUGUGACUCCAGACCUUACCUUGCUUUCUGAUCACCAAUCUCCCAUUUCAGUGAUUACUCUGAUCCCUGCUUAUUGACUGCAGCCUUGUGGACACCAGCCCAGCUGUGACUGCUAGGCCAGAUCAUGUAGGCCCUGGUCCCUUAUGAAUAGCCUGAAUUGUGCCUGACAGAGCUAAAGAACUGGCCCAAAGUUUGUUGGGAAAUGAUUACGAAGGGUAUCUUACAGAUGAAUUGAAUUGUUGAACUGGGACUUCAAGUCUCUGCAGGUCUCCUGUUCUCACUGAUCCUACUCCUAUUGAACUGUACAGCAAAACUCCCACUAAUGUUAAG
Mauremys mutica (yellowpond turtle) is the source of this 457-nucleotide long non-coding RNA. RefSeq lists it as uncharacterized. The record is from RefSeq and is a predicted model, not a curated record. The transcript has 4 exons. NCBI's taxonomy places the organism in Eukaryota, Metazoa, Chordata, Testudines, Geoemydidae.